Molecule: long non-coding RNA, 476 nt
Filed under: Nicotiana benthamiana
Lineage: Eukaryota; Viridiplantae; Streptophyta; Magnoliopsida; Solanales; Solanaceae
Description: long non-coding RNA (NBEN_LNC022384)
Source: RNAcentral
UGGAACUGGUUCUUCUCUCUUAGUUCAUAUAGCUUCAGACGUACACACUUGUAUCUUGAAUAUAUAGUUCGUAAAACAAAAUCGCUUUAUUUGCUCUCAAAUAUGCUUUUCUUCUGCUUUUGUGUGUUACCUGAAAAAAAGUACCAACACAAUAAUAUAUUGAGUUAGUAGUUAGAGUUUGAUUACAACUCCACAUCUUAUCUGUAGUCCAUUUAAAUACUUAGCCAAUACAAACUCUAACUCUUAUCCUAAAUUAGGAUCAAGUUCUCUUCACAUAAGGAGAUUGUCCUCCUUAUCCCAAAUUCAACCUUUUCCAUUACGUUAAGAAGAUAUUGAUGCGUGAUCUUUAGUGCAUAUCUUUCUCACGUGCUUCACAUGUGCCCUGGUUAAUUCAUACUAUGUAGUACAAGAUGGACCAGGUGCUUCCAUAGGUUCAUUUAUCAAUCUUCAAAACUCCAAUUGAAACUUGGGCCAAC